RNAcentral lists this ribosomal RNA (806 nucleotides) under uncultured bacterium. RNAcentral describes it as "bacterial SSU rRNA". It matches the Rfam family "Bacterial small subunit ribosomal RNA", at positions 8 to 808 of the family's 1533-position model. The record is from RNAcentral.
AGAGUUUGAUCAUGGCUCAGAUUGAACGCUGGCGGCAGGCUUAACACAUGCAAGUCGAGCGGGGAAAGGUAGCUUGCUACCUUACCUAGCGGCGGACGGGUGAGUAAUGCUUAGGAAUCUGCCUAUUAGUGGGGGACAACAUUUCGAAAGGAAUGCUAAUACCGCAUACGCCCUACGGGGGAAAGCAGGGGACCUUCGGGCCUUGCGCUAAUAGAUGAGCCUAAGUCGGAUUAGCUAGUUGGUGGGGUAAAGGCCUACCAAGGCGACGAUCUGUAGCGGGUCUGAGAGGAUGAUCCGCCACACUGGGACUGAGACACGGCCCAGACUCCUACGGGAGGCAGCAGUGGGGAAUAUUGGACAAUGGGGGGAACCCUGAUCCAGCCAUGCCGCGUGUGUGAAGAAGGCCUUUUGGUUGUAAAGCACUUUAAGCGAGGAGGAGGCUCCCAGUAUUAAUACUACUGGAGAGUGGACGUUACUCGCAGAAUAAGCACCGGCUAACUCUGUGCCAGCAGCCGCGGUAAUACAGAGGGUGCAAGCGUUAAUCGGAUUUACUGGGCGUAAAGCGUGCGUAGGUGGCCAAUUAAGUCAAAUGUGAAAUCCCCGAGCUUAACUUGGGAAUUGCAUUCGAUACUGGUUGGCUAGAGUAUGGGAGAGGAUGGUAGAAUUCCAGUGUAGCGGUGAAAUGCGUAGAGAUCUGGAGGAAUACCGAUGGCGAAAGCAGCCAUCUGGGCCUAAUACUGACACUGAGGUACGAAAGCAUGGGGAGCAAACAGGAUUAGAUACCCUGGUAGUCCAUGCCGUAAACG